AGCGAACGCUGGCGGCAGGCUUAACACAUGCAAGUCGAGCGGGCAUAGCAAUAUGUCAGCGGCAGACGGGUGAGUAACGCGUGGGAACGUACCUUUUGGUUCGGAACAACACAGGGAAACUUGUGCUAAUACCGGAUAAGCCCUUACGGGGAAAGAUUUAUCGCCGAAAGAUCGGCCCGCGUCUGAUUAGCUAGUUGGUGAGGUAAUGGCUCACCAAGGCGACGAUCAGUAGCUGGUCUGAGAGGAUGAUCAGCCACAUUGGGACUGAGACACGGCCCAAACUCCUACGGGGGGCAGCAGUGGGGAAUAUUGGACAAUGGGCGCAAGCCUGAUCCAGCCAGGCCGCGUGAGUGAUGAAGGCCCUAGGGUUGUAAAGCUCUUUUGUGCGGGAAGAUAAUGACGGUACCGCAAGAAUAAGCCCCGGCUAACUUCGUG
Molecule: ribosomal RNA, 435 nt
Filed under: uncultured bacterium
Lineage: Bacteria
Description: partial 16S ribosomal RNA
Rfam family: Bacterial small subunit ribosomal RNA
Source: RNAcentral